RNAcentral lists this long non-coding RNA (3021 nucleotides) under Astyanax mexicanus (Mexican tetra). Its description in RNAcentral is "lncRNA (ENSAMXG00005019054.1)". The record is from RNAcentral. Lineage: Eukaryota; Metazoa; Chordata; Actinopteri; Characiformes; Acestrorhamphidae.
AGCCCCCUCUGGAUUGAUCUAGGUGUCAGUAACGCACAGGUUUUCCAGCUCUAAGCAGAGAGGAGAGUACACAGAAGAAGGACAGAGUGACUGUGUGACUGGGUGUGUGUGUGUGAGUGAGAGAGUGUGUGGGAGGUCGUGCAGCAUGCAGCAGUAGAGAGGAUACACACACUCGCCAUGGCGUGUCCCCCGCCCCCUCCCCCUGUUUAAGAAGAGCUACGUCCUCCCUCUAACUCACCACUGGGGGCUUCAGAGUGGAGCCCCACACACCACAUCACACCACACCACACACACCGGCCCACUACAAUCCCAGGUGUGUGUGUGCGAGUUGGGUUCUCGCCCCCUUCCUGAGGGAAGAUGUCUGUGGUGAUGCCCCUGGAUGGGGUGAGGGAGGGGGAGAGUGUGCUGGUUACUGAGACCCCAGCCGGCACGCGCUGCAAAGGAAACACCAAUUUACCUGGCAAAGACAACUGCACUGACAACAACAACACAGAGCCUGACGACAACCUCUCACAAGACACACAGAAACGCUGUCAGAACCAUGGCCAUACCAGGAAAAGAGCCAAGUCCAAUGCCAAGCUGAAGCUGGUGCGGAGUCUAGCAGUAUGUGAAGAGUCAUCGGGUCCAUUCUCAACUGAUGGACCUCCAGAGACGCAGGACAUCAUUCAGCUACACAUCAGCUGUCCUUCAGACAAAGAAGAGGAGAAAUCCUCGAAAGAUGAGUACGAGAGUGAGGAGAGGGAGAAGAAGGACAAGACUCCUCGCAAGAUGCUCUCGCGGGACUCCAGUCAGGAGUACACAGACUCCACGGGCAUCGAUGUGCACGAGUUCUUGGUGAACACACUGAAAAACAACCCCAGGGACAGAAUGAUGCUACUGAAGCUGGAACAAGAUAUACUGGAGUUCAUCAAUGAUGACAAUAAUCAGUAUAAGAAGUUCCCUCAGAUGACCUCUUACCAUCGCAUGCUACUGCAUCGGGUGGCAGCAUAUUUUGGAAUGGACCACAACGUGGACCAAACUGGCAAAGCAGUCAUCAUCAACAAAACGAGCAACACGCGCAUCCCUGAACAGAGGUUUUCUGAGCACAUUAAGGACGAAAGGAACAUGGAUUUCCAAAAGAAAUUCAUUCUCAAGAGGGAUGAUGCAAGCAUGGACAAAGACGAUAACCAGGAGAGUUCGAGCAGAGCGUCCAGCAGCCGGCAGAGCAGCACAGACAGCGAUAUGAAGAGUCUGGAGCCACGGCCGUGGAGCAGCACAGACUCGGACAGUUCCAACCGCACACUGCGGCCACCCGUCACCAAGGCCAGCAGCUUCAGUGGCAUCUCUAUCCUCACACGCGGCGACAGCCUGGGCAGCAAGGGCUCGCAGGGUAGCGCCAGGGGGUCACGCACAGGUACAGACAUGCAUGCCAUUAAGACAUGCCCCCAGCCCCAGCCCCCCCAGCAGGGACGCAGCCUCUUGCCCUGUCCUUCCAACUGCCCCUCUAAUGCCCCUCCACCCCAGAACCAGGCGCCCCCACCACCCCCACAAACUGGAGAUGAGUUGACCCCAGGCUUCGGGCAGAUGUCUCUGAGCCGCCAGGGCUCCAGCGAGGCUCCAGAGCCACCCACCCUCUACCAGCCUCCUCCUGCCGUCCUGUCCCAGCACCCCCCACCACAGCCAAGUUACAUCAUGCCCCCACCGCCCUCUGGGUACCAACCGCCCACACCUCACCCACACCCUCCUCCACCCCCUCCGCCUCCUACCCAGCCUGUACUGCAGACAGCACCGCCUGCUCAGGGCUACAUGCAGCCCCCGCCACCACCUCAGCAGAUCCAGGUGCAGUAUUACUCAGCUGGUGGGCAGUAUCCGAGUUCAGGACAGCAGUACAGGUCCAUAUCCCACCAAGUGUCAUACCCUGCUCAACGCUCUCAGACCCUCCCCCCACCAACGCAGCCCUCCGCUCCUCUCCAGCCUAUGAUGGCGAGUCAGCAGCCAACGUAUCAGAGCAUGAUGGGAGUUCAGCAGCCGCAGAGUGCCAGUAUAAUGAGCUCACAGCGCACAGGCAUGAGCGGACAGAUGCAAGGCAUGAUGGUCCAGUACACACCCAUGCCCUCCUAUCAGGUGGCCGUAGCUAAUGAAACCCAGCCUGUGGUGCAGCAGCAGUACCAGCAGCCUGUCAUGGUGCCUGUUAGCCAGUCUGUCCAGGGUGCCAUGCCAACCCCUGCACCCAUGCCAGUCUACUACAGUGUCUUGACCCCCACACAACAGAACAGCACAAGUCCAUCUGUGGGCUACCUGCAGCCUCCCAGUUCAGAUCAGUACCAGAUGACCCAGUCUCCGUCCCCCUGCAGCCCUCAGCAGAUACAGCAGCAGUAUUCAGGAGUGCCGCCCCCUGGUCCAGGUGUCAUGGUGAUGCAGCUGAGUGUUCCAAAUGGGCCACAGUCUACUCAGAAUCCUCCUAUGGUGCAGUGGAAUCCCUGCAAGUAUUAUAGCGUGGAGCAGAGACCCAGCAAGCCUGAGCCACAGGUCAGCACUCAGUUAAGUAGUCCUUUGGCAUCUCCUACUCAGUCUCCCACUCCGUCUCCAUCCAGCAGCGGGAACAGUGUGUGCCCUGGACUCGGCCCACUUCCACUCAUUUCUCAGUUUCCUCGGCCUGGAGGACCCGCACAAGGUGACUGCACUGGGGUGGUGAGCCGUGUGUUGGAGGUGACGGAUCUACCCGAGGGCAUCUCUCGUCUAGAUGCCGAGAAGCUCUUCAACCAGCUCUCACUCUGCGGUGCCAAAAUCCAGUGGCUGAAGGACCCCCAGGUGCCCCGGGGGCCCACAACGGCCCCGGGACCCGGGGGAGGAUGCGGAAUGGGCAAAAACGAUGCACAUGACCCAGCCCACCUCUACACAGUGGUGGCCGUGUUCCCAAACACCAUGGCUGCCCAGAGCGCGUCCUUCAAGCUGAACAACAGUGGAGGAAGCCUGUUCAAACUGCGCGCCGCCAAAAAGAACUAUGACCUGCGCGUGCUGGAGCGAGCCAGCUCCCAGUGA